Molecule: long non-coding RNA, 430 nt
Organism: Passer domesticus (house sparrow)
Lineage: Eukaryota; Metazoa; Chordata; Aves; Passeriformes; Passeridae
Exons: 3
Source: RefSeq, a predicted model, not a curated record
CCUGGGACUGGAGCUUUGGAAUGGAAGGAUACAGGCUCUUCAGGAAACACAGGCAGGGAACAUGAGGAGGGACUGUCACCCUCUAUGCCAAUGACCAGCUGGGGUGCACAGAGCUCUGCCAUGAGCCUCAGAUGAGCAGCCACCCAAGAACUCAGGGGUCAGGAUCAAAGGGAAGGCAGGGACAGGUGACAUUAUAGUGGGGGUUUGCUACAGACCACCAGAGCAGGAAGAGUGAGUGGAUAAGCCUCUGCCUCGUGAGUUACAGCCACUGCUGAGGAUUCACUGCUGUGCUGACACUGCUCUGGUGCUACUGCUGCUCAAACCACUCAGGAUCUAAAUAGAUCAGAAUAGAUCAGACCACGUUCAUCCCACAUGACAGAUCUGAGAUGAGUACCUCAGCAGCUCCUCAAUGUCCUCCUCAGGAUCCCUG